This 140-nucleotide ribosomal RNA is filed under the name uncultured Phenylobacterium sp. RNAcentral describes it as "partial 16S ribosomal RNA". It matches the Rfam family "Bacterial small subunit ribosomal RNA", at positions 366 to 524 of the family's 1533-position model. Lineage: Bacteria; Pseudomonadati; Pseudomonadota; Alphaproteobacteria; Caulobacterales; Caulobacteraceae. The record is from RNAcentral.
GCACGAUCGCGUAAGCCUGACGCAGCCAUGCCGCGUGAAUGAUGAAGGUCUUAGGAUUGUAAAAUUCUUUCACCGGGGACGAUAAUGACGGUACCCGGAGAAGAAGCCCCGGCUAACUUCGUGCCAGCAGCCGCGGUAAU